RNAcentral lists this ribosomal RNA (717 nucleotides) under Saidovina sp. FF409. Its description in RNAcentral is "eukaryotic LSU rRNA". It matches the Rfam family "Eukaryotic large subunit ribosomal RNA", at positions 656 to 1368 of the family's 3401-position model. Lineage: Eukaryota; Foraminifera; Rotaliida; Bolivinitidae. The record is from RNAcentral.
GAAACACGGACCAAGGAGUUCAACUGGAUUGCGAGUCGUAGAGGUGCAUCUACACUCAUAUUGGACGUAGCGAAAGCAAUUCAGUACCAACUAUUAUUUACGCAAUAAUAGUGCAGUACAUGCUGAUUGAGUAUAUGCAUAGUGUUUACGCAGUGUGCAUACCUUCAUAUACGCAUCUCACGAUGUGUGUCGAAGGAUCAAUCAAGCAAUAGAGUAAUUUAGUUGAGACCCGAAAGAUGGUGAACUUUGCCCGGACAUGGUGAAGUCAGGUGAAAACUUGAUGGAAGCUUGCGUUGUGCGGAACUGACGUGCAAAUCGUUGCCGCCUGAACUGGGUAAAGGGGCGAAAGACUCAUCGAACCAUCUAGUAGCUGGUUCCCUCCGAAGUUUCCCUUAGGAUAGCUCGAAUACAUUACAUUUAGAUAUUUACUUUAUCACAAAGUAACACAAGGGUAAAGCAAUGAUACGCGGUAUCUGUGGGUCUUUUUACAAUGACCUCGGCCUUCUCUCAAACUUUAAAUCUGUGCGACUCUAUCUCUGUAUUCUUUGAAGCAUUUACGCGUCUAGUGCGUAACUUCUGUGUGAUACGAUAGAUCAUAUUUAGUAUUCGUAGUGGGCCAUUUCUGGUAAGCAGAACUGGCGAUGAGGGAUUCAACCUGACGUUUGAUAAGAUAAGCCGGGCUUAAUCAUAUCUGCUCUAACCUUCCGAUAAACGCGA